UGGGGAAUAUUGCACAAUGGGGGAAACCCUGAUGCAGCGACGCCGCGUGAGCGAAGAAGGUUUUCGAAUCGUAAAGCUCUGUCCUAUGGGAAGAUAAUGACGGUACCAUAGGAGGAAGCCCCGGCUAACUACGUGCCAGCAGCCGCGGUAAUACGUAGGGGGCAAGCGUUUUCCGGAAUCACUGGGCGUAAAGGGUUCGCAGGCGGAAAUGCAAGUCAGUUGUGAAAGGCAGAGGCUCAACCUCUGUAAGCAAUUGAAACUGUAUUUCUUGAGAUGUGGAGAGGCAAGUGGAAUUCCUAGUGUAGCGGUGAAAUGCGUAGAUAUUAGGAAGAAUACCGGUGGCGAAGGCGACUUGCUGGACACAAACUGACGCUGAGGAACGAAAGCGUGGGUAGCAAACAGG
RNAcentral lists this ribosomal RNA (403 nucleotides) under Fusobacteriota bacterium. RNAcentral's name for it is "Fusobacteria bacterium partial 16S ribosomal RNA". It matches the Rfam family "Bacterial small subunit ribosomal RNA", at positions 355 to 776 of the family's 1533-position model. The record is from RNAcentral. Lineage: Bacteria; Fusobacteriati; Fusobacteriota.